UGACUCAGUUGGUAAGAGUGUGGCGCUAGCAAAGCCAAUGUAGUGGGUUCAAUUCCUGC
Molecule: transfer RNA, 59 nt
Filed under: Salmo salar (Atlantic salmon)
Lineage: Eukaryota; Metazoa; Chordata; Actinopteri; Salmoniformes; Salmonidae
Also listed under: 1 other name
Source: Rfam by way of RNAcentral